This is a long non-coding RNA of Cyprinodon variegatus (sheepshead minnow), 259 nucleotides long. RefSeq lists it as uncharacterized. The transcript is spliced from 3 exons. The record is from RefSeq and is a predicted model, not a curated record. Lineage: Eukaryota; Metazoa; Chordata; Actinopteri; Cyprinodontiformes; Cyprinodontidae.
GGGAAAGGAUGGUGCUUUAUACCUUCUUUUCUAAUUCUUACUUGGAUUAGACAUUGUCAGUCAUUCUGUAGCCUAAUUAAACCAGAAAAACCAGAGUCCUUUGCUUGAAGCUGUGUGUUGAUGAGGACUGAGCUGUCUGAAAGUAAACCAGUAAUUUUUUGAAUGCAUCUCAUCUGAAAAUUAAAUCCGCAGAGACCAGAGACCCUAACAAGACCAAAUUAAGUGAUUGUUAAUUGACAUUGUCAAUCUUAAAUACGGU